This 301-nucleotide ribosomal RNA is filed under the name uncultured bacterium. Its description in RNAcentral is "partial 16S ribosomal RNA". It matches the Rfam family "Bacterial small subunit ribosomal RNA", at positions 509 to 807 of the family's 1533-position model. The record is from RNAcentral.
CAGCCGCCGCGGGAAUACGUAGGGUGCGAGCGUUAAUCGGAAUUACUGGGCGUAAAGCGUGCGCAGGCGGUUGUGUAAGACAGGUGUGAAAUCCCCGGGCUUAACCUGGGAACUGCGCUUGUGACUGCACAGCUAGAGUAUGGCAGAGGGGGGUGGAAUUCCACGUGUAGCAGUGAAAUGCGUAGAGAUGUGGAGGGACACCGAUGGCGAAGGCAGCCCCCUGGGCCAAUACUGACGCUCAUGCACGAAAGCGUGGGGAGCAAACAGGAUUAGAUACCCCGGUAGUCCCUGUCUCUUAUAC